Molecule: ribosomal RNA, 1225 nt
Filed under: metagenome
Description: bacterial SSU rRNA
Rfam family: Eukaryotic small subunit ribosomal RNA
Source: RNAcentral
CAGCGCACAUGGGGCCUUAAUUGGCUUCCCUGUUGGGAGGAGGGUUAAUAGCCCGAGACCCAGGUCGGGGCUCUAACGGCGGCGGAGGGUGAAAGCCUUUCGUUGCGGUUUUGGGGUUCGGGCAGCGUUUCACCUCAUUUACUUUGAACAAAAUAGAGUGCUCAACACAGACCUUAGGGUCAUUGAAUAAUUCAGCAUGGGAUAAUAGAACAUGAGAUUGAAUUCAUUUUGUUGGUAUUAUGAAUUUAAACUAAUGAUUAAAAGGGACAGUUGGGGUGGUCUGUAUUGGGUAGCUAGAGGUGAAAUUCUUGGAUUUUCCCAAGACAAACUACUGCGAAAGCAAUCUACUAGGAUGUACCCAUUAAUCAAGAACGAAAGUUGGGGGAUCGAAGACGAUCAGAUACCGUCGUAGUCUCAACCAUAAACAAUGCCGACUUAGGAUAGGAGAGUGUUUUCUAUGACUUCCCCUGCACUAUACGAGAAAUCAUAAGUCUUUGGGUUCCGGGGGGAGUAUGGUCGCAAGGCUGAAACUUAAAGGAAUUGACGGAAGGGCACCACCAGGCGUGGAGCCUGCGGCUUAAUUUGAUUCAACACGGGGAAACUUACCAGGUCCGGACAACGCAAGGAUUGACAGAUUGAAAGCUCUUUCAUGAUUCGUUGGGUGGUGGUGCAUGGCCGUUCUUAGUUGGUGGUGUGAAUUGUCUGGUUGAUUCCGUUAACGAACGAGACCUUUACUGGUAAAUAGUCACGGGAAGGUUUUGCGUCAAGGCGUAGUGGGCCAACACUAGGAAGGAUCCGUUCCCCUAGAGUUGCCGAUCCAUUGCGUUGCAUUUCUUCCUGGAAGUACUUCUUACUAGGACUAUUAGUGAUAAGCUAAUGGAAGUUGGAGGCCAAAACAGGUCUGUGAUGCCCUUCGAUGUUCUGGGCCGCACGCGCGCUACACUGAUCGAGUCAACAAGUUUACAACCUUUUCCGAAAGGAAUGGGUAAUCUUUUGAAACUCGAUCGUGAUAGGGAUAGAUGAUUGCAAUUAUUUGUCUUGAACGAGGAAUGCCUAGUAGGGUCGGUUCAACAGACUGACCCGAUUACGUCCCUGCUCUUUGUACACACCGCCCGUCGCUCCUACCGAUUGGAUGUUCCGGUGAGGACUCAGGACUUUUGGUUUUUCCUGUGGUGAGGUUCUGCUUCAUUACAGAGCUAGAGGAAAUUUGUUCAAAUCUUAACAU